RNAcentral lists this ribosomal RNA (460 nucleotides) under uncultured bacterium. RNAcentral describes it as "partial 16S ribosomal RNA". It matches the Rfam family "Bacterial small subunit ribosomal RNA", at positions 338 to 795 of the family's 1533-position model. The record is from RNAcentral.
CCUACGGGUGGCAGCAGUGAGGAAUAUUGGUCAAUGGACGCGAGCCUGAACCAGCCAAGUAGCGUGAAGGAUGACUGCACUAUGGGUUGUAAACUUCUUUUGUCAAGGAAUAAAGUGAGGCACGUGUGCCUGUUUGUAUGUACCUUAUGAAUAAGGAUCGGCUAACUCCGUGCCAGCAGCCGCGGUAAUACGGAGGAUCCGAGCGUUAUCCGGAUUUAUUGGGUUUAAAGGGUGCGUAGGUGGGUUGUUAAGUCAGUGGUGAAAGUUCGCGGCUCAACCGUGAAAUUGCAAUUGAUACUGGCAGUCUUGAGGAGAGUUGAGGUAGGCGGAAUGCGUGGUGUAGCGGUGAAAUGCUUAGAUAUCACGAAGAACUCCGAUUGCGAAGGCAGCUUACUAAGCUGCCACUGACGUUGAUGCACGAAAGUGUGGGUAUCAAACAGGAUUAGAUACCCGAGUAGUC